CUAUGGGUAGACCCUUCAGUCGCCGCCGAUUGCCGGAGAUUUUUCUCCGAUUUUCCUGUUUGAAGCCGCGACUCCUCGACCCGUGUUCGCCGCGAUUUCUCGCCGGUGGGGGUCACCGGAGGUUGUGGUAAGGUCUCCCUCCCCUCCCUCUCUUCUCUCCCUUCUUUCCCGUGCCUGUGUGCACGAUGGUCGGCGACGGGUGUCGCCGGAUUUAGUUGGAGAAGGAAACCCCCCUGUUCGCCGCUUCUUUCCUCUGAUUUUUCGACGUCGACGGUCACGCCGACCGCCGGCCCUGGUCUCUCCGAACCCGGGAGAGUCGGCC
This 322-nucleotide long non-coding RNA is filed under the name Elaeis guineensis (African oil palm). RNAcentral's name for it is "long non-coding RNA (EGUI_LNC055677)". The record is from RNAcentral. Lineage: Eukaryota; Viridiplantae; Streptophyta; Magnoliopsida; Arecales; Arecaceae.